Molecule: long non-coding RNA, 1587 nt
Organism: Macaca mulatta (Rhesus monkey)
Lineage: Eukaryota; Metazoa; Chordata; Mammalia; Primates; Cercopithecidae
Source: Ensembl
UCCAGCAGGAGGCCCCAAACCAGCAUCCAGAGCAGAUGUAACCUUCUGCAACCCAACAGGAGGCCACAACUGAGCCUCCAGGUCCUCCUGUGAAGGCUGAACGUUGAGCAGGAGCAGCCAGGUCUGCCUUCUGAGUCUUCUGGGGAAGUUGAAUCCUCUCCAGCCUGCAGGAGACCCCAGCUCAGCCUCCAGAACAUCAUCAAGUAACAGUUCCACCUCCCGGUCACCAUCAAGUUCAACACUGAGAUUUGCCCAGUAUCACUGUUAAGCCUCCAGAUACGAAGCUCACCAUAGCAACAGAGCCUACUGCGGAGGUGAGAACUUCUCCAAUCCAUCAGGAGGCUACAGCUCAGCUCUCAGGGCCAGUUAAUGAUGUGGAACAUUCCAACACCCAGCAUGGGGGCACGCCUCUGCCUACAGAGUCAUUGGAAGAGGCUGGCCCUUUACCAGUUCAACAGGAGACUUCGGUUGAAUCUCCAGAACCCACUAAAUAUGAGAACCCCUCUCCAACACAGUAGGAGGCUGCAGGUGAGCAUCCACAGACCCCUGAGUAGGUUGAGUCUUCUCCAACCCAGAAAGACGCCCCAGCUCAGCCUUCAGAGCUCCCUAAUGAAGUUGUAGCUCAACCUCCAGAGCGUCAUGGGGUAACAGUUUCUCCUAUAAGUCAUGAUCAAGUUCAGCCUCCAACAUUUCACCAUGUCAUUGUUAAGCCUGUGGAUCACAUGGUUACCAUGACUCCAGAGUUCACCUAUCAGGUUGAAAUUUUAAUUCAACACAGGGUCCCAGCUCAGUCUUUAAUAUCCCCUGAGCAGUUUAAACAUUUGAAAGACCAGCAACAGAUUAUCAUUCAGCAGCUAAAUACCCCUGGAAAUGAUGAACUUCUGCCAAGUCUAUCAAGACCCCACGACUCCGUCUCCAACUCAGCUCUCCUCAGACAUUAUUAAAUCUCCAACCCAGCAAGCAGCCACAACUCAGAUCCCAGAUCCACCUAAAGAGGUAGAAUCUUCUCCAGUUCAGCCUGAGUCCCCACCUGAGCCAUCAGGCCCCCUUAAAGACGUUGAACCAUCUGAAACCCAGCAGGAAGUCUCAGGUCAUUUUCUGAAGUCCACUGAAGAGGUCAGUCUUCCACCACAGCUGGAGAUACCAGCUCAGCCAUCAGAGCCACCUGAGAAGGUCGAGCCAUCUCCAGUCCUACAACUGGCCCAAACUCAGAUUUUAAAGCCACCUAAAGAGGUAGAAUCCUCUCCAGUCCAGCAGGCAGGCCCUGCUCAAUCUUCAGAGGACCCUAUGUUAGUAGAACUCUCUCUGACUCAGCAGGUGUCCCCAUCUUUACAUCCAGAGUUCCCUGAAGAGGUGGAACCAUCUCUAACUCAGCAGGAGUUUCCAGCUCAGACCCCAGUGCCCCAAAUGGAGGCAGAACCUUCUCCAGCCCAACAGGAGGCCACAGUUCAGGCUCCAGAGCCCCCCGAGGAGGUUGAAACUUCAAGCCAGCAGAUGGUCCCAGCUCAGCUUCCAGAGCCACCUAAGGAGGUUGCAGGUCAACCUCCAAUGCAUUACGAGAUGACAAAGACAUGGCUACAGGUAUGA